CCUACGGGAGGCAGCAGUGGGGAAUAUUGGACAAUGGGGGGAACCCUGAUCCAGCCAUGCCGCGGGUGUGAAGAAGGCCCUCGGGUUGUAAAGCACUUUCAGUGAGGAAGAACGCCUGGUGGUUAAUACCCAUCAGGAAAGACAUCACUCACAGAAGAAGCACCGGCUAACUCCGUGCCAGCAGCCGCGGUAAUACGGAGGGUGCGAGCGUUAAUCGGAAUUACUGGGCGUAAAGCGCGCGUAGGUGGCUUGAUAAGCCGGUUGUGAAAGCCCCGGGCUCAACCUGGGAACGGCAUCCGGAACUGUCAAGCUAGAGUGCAGGAGAGGAAGGUAGAAUUCCCGGUGUAGAGGUGAAAGGCGUAGAGAUCGGGAGGAAUACCAGUGGCGAAGGCGGCCUUCUGGACUGACACUGACACUGAGGUGCGAAAGCGUGGGUAGCAAACAGGAUUAGAUACCCUUGUAGUC
This 465-nucleotide ribosomal RNA is filed under the name Vreelandella stevensii. RNAcentral's name for it is "partial 16S ribosomal RNA". It matches the Rfam family "Bacterial small subunit ribosomal RNA", at positions 338 to 795 of the family's 1533-position model. The record is from RNAcentral. Lineage: Bacteria; Pseudomonadati; Pseudomonadota; Gammaproteobacteria; Oceanospirillales; Halomonadaceae.